ACGCUCGACACCUACGGAGGCAGCAGUUGGGAAUAUUGGACAAUGGAGGAAACUCUGAUCCAGUGACGCCGCGUGAAGGAAGAAGGUCUUCGGAUUGUAAACUUAUUUUGUCAGGGAAGAAAAAUGACUGUACCUGAAGAAAAAGCACCGGCUAACUACGUGCCAACAGCCGCGGUAAUCUGAGCGGGCUGGCAAGGC
This 198-nucleotide ribosomal RNA is filed under the name uncultured bacterium. RNAcentral describes it as "partial 16S ribosomal RNA". It matches the Rfam family "Bacterial small subunit ribosomal RNA", at positions 328 to 539 of the family's 1533-position model. The record is from RNAcentral.